CCUACGGGUGGCAGCAGUGAGGAAUAUUGGUCAAUGGGCGCGAGCCUGAACCAGCCAUGUAGCGUGAAGGAUGACUGCCCUCCGGGUUGUACACUUCUUUUAUACGGGAAUAAACUCAGACACGUGUUCCUUUUUGUAUGUACUUUAUGAAUCAGGAUCGGCUAACUCCGUUCCAGCAGCCGCGGUAAUACGGAGGAUCCGAGCGUUAUCCGGAUUUAUUGGGUUUAAAGGGAGCGUAGUUGGUUGGAUAAGUCAGUUGUGAAAUCUUGCGGCUCAACCGUAAAAUUGCAAUUGAUACUGUCAGUCUUGAGUGUAGUUGAGGUAGGCGGAAUGCAUGGUGUAGCGGUGAAAGGCUUAGAUAUCACGAAGAACACCGAUUGCGAAGGCAGCUUACCAAACUACUACUGACAUUGAGGCACGAAAGUGUGGGUAGCAAACAGGAUUAGAGACCCCAGUAGUC
RNAcentral lists this ribosomal RNA (460 nucleotides) under uncultured bacterium. RNAcentral describes it as "partial 16S ribosomal RNA". It matches the Rfam family "Bacterial small subunit ribosomal RNA", at positions 338 to 795 of the family's 1533-position model. The record is from RNAcentral.